GUGCUUUGCUUCAGCAGCACUUAUGCUAAAAACAAUUGGAAUGGUACAGAGAAGAUUCACAUGACCCCCGUGUGAGGAUGACAUGCAAAUUCAUGAAGCAUUUCAUUUUUUU
Molecule: small nuclear RNA, 112 nt
Organism: Papio anubis (olive baboon)
Lineage: Eukaryota; Metazoa; Chordata; Mammalia; Primates; Cercopithecidae
Source: Ensembl